GGACGAUGGAAUUGUGAGCAACCACCAGCCUUAUCAGACGAUGAUCCAGUGUUUGAUGCAUUGGGUGAAGCAAUGAUGAAGCAGUUUACGCAGAAUGGGACUCUUGUAGCCGGAAUCCAUGAGUUGUCGGAAAUAAAUUGGUUUGCUGUAAAUUAUAAGGCUGUCAGGAUAACCAUAAUGCAUCUUGUUUUUGAAAGAAAUCACCCAUCUCAAAUUUAUUCAAUUAGGAUGAGUAUCCUGGGACCUGCGAUAUGAGCCUCCUCUUUUUAUUAAUGGCGUCAGUCUGUUUUUUUGUAGACUUUUAUUUGGGGAAUCAUGUAUAGCUUUAAUUUUGGAGACUACCUUCGUAAUAUAUAGCUGCUCAACAAAAUAUUGUUAGUUGCUUUUCA
This is a long non-coding RNA of Cryptomeria japonica (Japanese cedar), 389 nucleotides long. RefSeq lists it as uncharacterized. The record is from RefSeq and is a predicted model, not a curated record. Lineage: Eukaryota; Viridiplantae; Streptophyta; Pinopsida; Cupressales; Cupressaceae. The transcript is spliced from 2 exons.